GAGGGUAGAGCUCAGUAGUAGAGUGUGUGGUUAGCAUGCAUGAGGUCCUGGGUUCAGUCCCCAGUACGUUCA
Molecule: transfer RNA, 72 nt
Filed under: Camelus bactrianus (Bactrian camel)
Lineage: Eukaryota; Metazoa; Chordata; Mammalia; Artiodactyla; Camelidae
Also listed under: 2 other names
Rfam family: tRNA
About the family: Transfer RNA (tRNA) molecules are approximately 80 nucleotides in length.
Source: Rfam by way of RNAcentral